UUUUUUUUUUCCUUCAGGAAUACCAGUCAGGGUUGUUACAUUCCCUGGGGGCUCUGACCACCACAGGAUCCAUGCCUAUGUAAGCAAGGAAGGCAACCUCCUCUUGGGAGUCAUAUGCCAUGAGGCCCAGUAACUCCAUGCAUUCUAAAUGUGUCAGAGCACGAAGAUGUCAGAUUCAGCAGGGAGUUGUCCCUUGUCACUCCUUCUCAUUUCUCUGCUCUUCAUCCCUGUGGCUGCCUUGGAGGAAAACAUAAAACCUUCCAGACUGUUUCUAAUUGCAUAAUCCCAGGCCCCUGGACCUGCUGCCACUCUGUGUCCUGCCCCUGCCCAGGCCCUCUUCCUGGUUCAGGCACAGAAUGCCAACCUGACUCCCAGCAUGGAAACAAAUUAGUUUCUGAUGGAAAGGGAUUUGACUCAGAAGGAGAGAAAAUGCUUUGAGGACACUCCAGCAAAGGAAGCCUCUUUACCACCAGGUGGUCACCAAUAAUCUCUAAGAAGAUGCGAGGUACCUUAUAGUUGUAAACAAUUGUAGUAUCAGAUCUUUUCAAAAAGAACACAGCAGAGACAUCAGUUCAACGUUGGAGAAAUAGGAAAGAUUUCAUGCCAUCAAAUCAGGGAGGCUCUUGAAACAUCGCUGAUGUCCUAAUCUCCUUUUUCAGGUUUUUAAACAUCUAAGAAUACCAGGUAAAUUUAUCAGUACUUAUCUGGCAAAGAAGAGAGAGGGAGAGUAUAUAUGUGCAUGGAGAGAAUAAACUUGCAUAACUUUUCCAGCAUCGCAUGGCAAGCAGGAGGAUGCUGAUUUCACCAAUGAAAUAGCUAAUAAGAGCACAAAAGCAGACAUCUCAAAAGCAUUCCAGACUCCAAAGAAAAAGAGAACGUUCAGAAGAGGCUUCCAACCUGCUGGAAUAAAUCCCUUUGAACCUAAGAGAGCAAGAGUUCAUAUAAGCCACACUAAAAGUCAGAAUUUAUUGUUUAUCAGCAUGUUUAAUAAAAUUUAUUUUGAAAAGUGUAUUAAGCAGUACAAUAAAAUAAUACCUAUCUGUAUUAAAAAAUCA
Molecule: long non-coding RNA, 1055 nt
Organism: Leopardus geoffroyi (Geoffroy's cat)
Lineage: Eukaryota; Metazoa; Chordata; Mammalia; Carnivora; Felidae
Exons: 5
Source: RefSeq, a predicted model, not a curated record